This 750-nucleotide ribosomal RNA is filed under the name uncultured bacterium. RNAcentral describes it as "bacterial SSU rRNA". It matches the Rfam family "Bacterial small subunit ribosomal RNA", at positions 53 to 796 of the family's 1533-position model. The record is from RNAcentral.
GCAUGCAGUCGAGCGAGAAGUUUGUUGUUGAAGCUUCGGUGGAUUCAGCAGACGGAAAGCGGCAAACGGCGUAGUAAUGCGUAGGUUACGUACCCUCAGGUUGGGAAUAGCCACGGGAAACUGUGGGUAAUGCCCAAUAAUCUCUGCGGAGCAAAGGUGUGAUUCCGCCUGAGGAGCGGCUUACGUGAUAUUAGCUUGUUGGUGGGGUAAUGGCCUACCAAGGCAACGAUGUCUAGGGGGUGUGAGAGCAUGGCCCCCACGACCGGAACUGAGACACUGUCCGGACACCUACGGGUGGCUGCAGUCGAGAAUCUUCCGCAAUGGACGAAAGUCUGACGGAGCGACGCCGCGUGCGGGAUGAAGGCCUUUGGGUUGUAAACCGCUGUCAGAGGGGAUGAAAUCAUGGUUGGCUAUCCUUCCAUGUUGACAGAGCCUCAGAGGAAGCACGGGCUAAGUACGUGCCAGCAGCCGCGGUAACACGUACUGUGCGAACGUUAUUCGGAAUCACUGGGCUUAAAGGGUACGUAGGCGGUUUGGAAAGUCAGAUGUGAAAUGCCACAGCUCAACUGUGGCACUGCGUUUGAAACUUCCAGGCUAGAGUAUUUCAGGGGUGUGCGGAACUUAUGGUGGAGCGGUGAAAUGCGUUGAUAUCAUGAGGAACACCGGAGGCGAAGGCGGCACACUGGGGGAUUACUGACGCUGAGGUACGAAAGCCAGGGUAGCGAACGGGAUUAGAUACCCCGGUAGUCC